AUUUGCAUAAAAUCUGAUUUUAUUGCCUUGGGGGCUCAUGGCAAAAAUGUAAGAUAAAAUACAGAUGAAGAAAAUCUGAUCCAAACAAAUACAAUGGCCCUAACAAAGUACACUGGCUAACUGGCUUUCAUUACUGUUGUAGCUGUCCAAAUGAGGAUUAUGGCAUUCAGUGCAUACAAGCAACUUGCAAACUUCUACAAAAGAUCUGCAAUCUAGUUCAUUACUACAGCUCUGGACGCAAUUUCACUGAUAUUCCUGUUGCUUGCAUGAACCUUGUCGCCUCUGUAUCAGGAUUUGCCCAGACAUCACAACAAGCAGACGCUUUUUCUGAGAAGAUACUUGCAUUACUCAAUGAGGCCAAGCAAACUGUCAGAGCAUGGAGCACACAAACUUUAAAAGGUAGACUUUUAAACAGAAGUUAUGUGACGUGUGCCAGCUUCACUACAGAAAUUGAGAUUUGGAAUAACAUUGUAGCCAUAGAUUUCAUGAGUAAGGACUUCACUAAAGAAUGGAGAGAGACAUUUACAACAGACUUUGAGGGGAAAUAUCAACAGGUAUUAAUUACACAGUUCCAGUAUGCAUGUUUACUUGGGUUGGAAAAUGGUCC
Molecule: long non-coding RNA, 607 nt
Filed under: Sinocyclocheilus rhinocerous
Lineage: Eukaryota; Metazoa; Chordata; Actinopteri; Cypriniformes; Cyprinidae
Description: lncRNA (ENSSRHG00000010283.1)
Source: RNAcentral